This 253-nucleotide ribosomal RNA is filed under the name uncultured microorganism. Its description in RNAcentral is "partial 16S ribosomal RNA". It matches the Rfam family "Bacterial small subunit ribosomal RNA", at positions 524 to 776 of the family's 1533-position model. The record is from RNAcentral.
UACGUAGGGUGCAAGCGUUAAUCGGAAUUACUGGGCGUAAAGCGUACGUAGGCGGCUUGUUAAGCAAGAUGUGAAAUCCCCGGGCUCAACCUGGGAAUGGCAUUUUGAACUGGCAGGCUCGAGUUCUGAAGAGGGUGGUAGAAUUUCCAGUGUAGCGGUGAAAUGCGUAGAUAUUGGAAGGAAUACCGGUGGCGAAGGCGGCCAUCUGGCUGAUAACUGACGCUGAGGUGCGAGAGCGUGGGGAGCAAACAGG